GACGAACGCUGGCGGCGUGCUUAACACAUGCAAGUCGAACGGAAAGGCCCUGCUUGCAGGGUACUCGAGUGGCGAACGGGUGAGUAACACGUGGGUGAUCUGCCCUGCACUUCGGGAUAAGCCUGGGAAACUGGGUCUAAUACCGGAGAGGAGCCAUUUUUAGUGUGAUGGUUGGAAAGUUUUUUUCGGUGUAGGAUGAGCUCGCGGCCUAUCAGCUUGUUGGUGGGGUAAUGGCCUACCAAGGCGGCGACGGGUAGCCGGCCUGAGAGGGUGGACGGCCACAUUGGGACUGAGAUACGGCCCAGACUCCUACGGGAGGGAGCAGUGGGGAAUAUUGCACAAUGGGCGCAAGCCUGAUGCAGCGACGCCGCGUGGGGGAUGACGGCCUUCGGGUUGGAAACUCCUUUCGCUAGGGACGAAGCUUUUUGUGACGGUACCUAGAUAAGAAGCACCGGCUAACUACGUG
RNAcentral lists this ribosomal RNA (466 nucleotides) under uncultured bacterium. RNAcentral's name for it is "partial 16S ribosomal RNA". It matches the Rfam family "Bacterial small subunit ribosomal RNA", at positions 28 to 507 of the family's 1533-position model. The record is from RNAcentral.